This 497-nucleotide ribosomal RNA is filed under the name uncultured bacterium. Its description in RNAcentral is "partial 16S ribosomal RNA". It matches the Rfam family "Bacterial small subunit ribosomal RNA", at positions 28 to 507 of the family's 1533-position model. The record is from RNAcentral.
GAUGAACGCUGGCGGCGUGCCUAAUACAUGCAAGUCGAGCGAACAGACGAGGAGCUUGCUCCUCUGACGUUAGCGGCGGACGGGUGAGUAACACGUGGAUAACCUACCUAUAAGACUGGGAUAACUUCGGGAAACCGGAGCUAAUACCGGAUAAUAUAUUGAACCGCAUGGUUCAAUAGUGAAAGACGGUUUUGCUGUCACUUAUAGAUGGAUCCGCGCCGCAUUAGCUAGUUGGUAAGGUAACGGCUUACCAAGGCGACGAUGCGUAGCCGACCUGAGAGGGUGAUCGGCCACACUGGAACGGAGACACGGUCCAGACUCCUACGGGAGGCAGCAGUAGGGAAUCUUCCGCAAUGGGCGAAAGCCUGACGGAGCAACGCCGCGUGAGUGAUGAAGGUCUUCGGAGCGUAAAACUCUGUUAUUAGGGAAGAACAAAUGUGUAAGUAACUAUGCACGUCUUGACGGUACCUAAUCAGAAAGCCACGGCUAACUACGUG